UGCAGAAGAGGAAUCAGUCAGGAGCUAUUAACAGUUUAAUUGAUACGCUUUUAUGAAGAAGUGGGUUUUUAAUGAUUUUUUUGAAGGAGUGGAGACUGGGUGAGCAUCUAAUGGAGGAGGGAAGCAAGUUCCACAGGAACGGUGCAGCCCUCGAGAAAUCUUGAAGGCGAGCAUCAGAGGUGGGAGUACGGACAGAAGAUAGACGUAAGUCUUCAGCAGAUCGUAAGGGCCUAGACGG
This 238-nucleotide long non-coding RNA is filed under the name Pelobates cultripes (western spadefoot toad). Lineage: Eukaryota; Metazoa; Chordata; Amphibia; Anura; Pelobatidae. The record is from RNAcentral.